UACAACUUUCAGCAACGGAUCUCUUGGCUCUCGCAUCGAUGAAGAACGCAGCGAAAUGCGAUAAGUAAUGUGAAUUGCAGAAUUCAGUGAAUCAUCGAAUCUUUGAACGCACCUUGCGCUCCUUGGUAUUCCGAGGAGCAUGCCUGUUUGAGUGUCAUGGA
Molecule: ribosomal RNA, 161 nt
Filed under: Trametes cinnabarina
Lineage: Eukaryota; Fungi; Basidiomycota; Agaricomycetes; Polyporales; Polyporaceae
Also listed under: 2 other names
Description: 5.8S ribosomal RNA
Rfam family: 5.8S ribosomal RNA
About the family: 5.8S ribosomal RNA (5.8S rRNA) is a component of the large subunit of the eukaryotic ribosome. It is transcribed by RNA polymerase I as part of the 45S precursor that also contains 18S and 28S rRNA. Functionally, it is thought that 5.8S rRNA may be involved in ribosome translocation.
Source: RNAcentral